Molecule: ribosomal RNA, 646 nt
Filed under: Tylenchulus furcus
Lineage: Eukaryota; Metazoa; Nematoda; Chromadorea; Rhabditida; Tylenchulidae
Description: eukaryotic LSU rRNA
Rfam family: Eukaryotic large subunit ribosomal RNA
Source: RNAcentral
CAAAGCACUUUGAAGAGAGAGUUAAAGAGGACGUGAAACUGGCACGAUGGAAACGGAUAGAGCAAGCGAACUUGUCCGUAUUCAGCCAAAGGCCCUGGGCCCGGCUCUGUUGUGUUUCAGCCGCUGUACACGCAGGGUCGAUCGCUCGGGUUCCGAGGUGCAUUUGCGGACAAUUGCGCCGAGACUUGUGGAGCAGCGGUAGGACCCGAUUCACGAGGCUUCCCUCUGGGUUGGACCUUGGAUUGGUACACGGCUGUUUGCUCUGCUCGUACUGGUGGUUCGGGCAACGGGCGAGGCUGUCGUUGGUGUUCUCUGGUGGUGGCAAUAGCACGCUUUGCCUAGCCUGUGGGCGCCAGCUGUGGUGGAGCUCUCGGACUGUUUCUCGGUGUAAAAGCUGGUCAUCUAUCCGACCCGUCUUGAAACACGGACCAAGGAGUUUAGCGUAUGUGCGAGCCACUGGGUGUUAAAACCUAUGGGCAGAAUGAAAGUGAAGGCUCGGUCGCCGGGCUUACAUGCGACCGUUUUGGCUCCGGCCGAGGCGGGCAGCAUGGUCCCGUUUCAGUCGCAUGCGACGGAGCGAAGACAGAGUGCAUGCGCUGAGACCCGAAAGAUGGUGAACUAUUCCUGAGCAGGAUGAAGCCAGAGG